RNAcentral lists this ribosomal RNA (396 nucleotides) under uncultured Desulfobulbus sp. Its description in RNAcentral is "bacterial SSU rRNA". It matches the Rfam family "Bacterial small subunit ribosomal RNA", at positions 992 to 1382 of the family's 1533-position model. The record is from RNAcentral. Lineage: Bacteria; Pseudomonadati; Thermodesulfobacteriota; Desulfobulbia; Desulfobulbales; Desulfobulbaceae.
AGGACCCUUAGGAACUAGGGGGUGCUUCCAUCUGGAAGAAUCUGGAGACAGGUGCUGCAUGGCUGUCGUCAGCUCGUGUCGUGAGACUGUUGGGUUAAGUCCCGCAACGAGCGCAACCCUUGCCUUUAGUUGCCAGCAGUUCGGCUGGGCACUCUAAAGGGACUGCCGGGUGUUAAACCGGAGGAAGGUGGGGAUGACGUCAAGUCCUCAUGGCCUUUAUGACCAGGGCUACACACGUACUACAAUGGCCGAUACAAAGGGCAGCGACACUGCGAGGUGAAGCCAAUCCCGUAAAUCGGUCUCAGUCCGGAUUGGAGUCUGCAACUCGACUCCAUGAAGUUGGAAUCGCUAGUAAUCGUGGAUCAGCAUGCCACGGUGAAUACGUUCCCGGGCCUU